This 253-nucleotide ribosomal RNA is filed under the name uncultured bacterium. RNAcentral describes it as "partial 16S ribosomal RNA". It matches the Rfam family "Bacterial small subunit ribosomal RNA", at positions 524 to 776 of the family's 1533-position model. The record is from RNAcentral.
UACGGAGGGUGCAAGCGUUAUCCGGAUUCACUGGGUUUAAAGGGUGCGUAGGUGGGUUGGUAAGUCAGUGAUGAAAUCUCCGAGCUUAACUUGGAAACUGCCAUUGAUACUAUCAGUCUUGAAUAUUGUGGAGGUUAGCGGAAUAUGUCAUGUAGCGGUGAAAUGCUUAGAUAUGACAUAGAACACCAAUUGCGAAGGCAGCUGGCUACGCAUAUAUUGACACUGAGGCACGAAAGCGUGGGGAUCAAACAGG